RNAcentral lists this ribosomal RNA (515 nucleotides) under Tamoya haplonema. RNAcentral describes it as "partial 16S ribosomal RNA". It matches the Rfam family "Bacterial large subunit ribosomal RNA", at positions 1935 to 2585 of the family's 2925-position model. The record is from RNAcentral. Lineage: Eukaryota; Metazoa; Cnidaria; Cubozoa; Carybdeida; Tamoyidae.
GGUAACUCUGACCGUGCUAAGGUAGCAUAAUCAAUCGUCACUUAAUUGGUGACUAGAAUGAAAGGCUAAACGAGCAUUCCUCUGUCUUAAAUUUAAACUUAGUGAAAUUAAACUACCCGUUAAGAUUCGGGUAUUUCUUGAUUAGACGAGAAGACCCCGUUGAGCUUUACCUAAGCUUUUUAUUUAAAUGGUUUUCCUUGGUAAGAAAAUAAUUUAACUUGGAAGAGCGACAGGUUUGGUUGGGGCGACCGCCCAAAUAAAAGAAACUUGGGUAAACAAGGGUUAAGCUUAUAAUAGAUACAGCUUUAUUAAUAGGCAGACAUGCUAAUUAAAAAGGAUUCCUCCUUUGCUAUAGUGACCCGUUACUAAUUGGUAGCGAAUCUGAAUAAAAGUUACCACGGGGAUAACAGGGUUAUCCAAUCCUAGAGUUCUUAUCGAAGAUUGGGUUUGCCACCUCGAUGUUGAAUAGCAGUGUCCUAGGGGUGUAGAAGCUCCUAAGGGUUGGUCUGUUCGAC